Long non-coding RNA from Myotis davidii, 596 nucleotides. RefSeq lists it as uncharacterized. The transcript has 3 exons. Lineage: Eukaryota; Metazoa; Chordata; Mammalia; Chiroptera; Vespertilionidae. The record is from RefSeq and is a predicted model, not a curated record.
CUGGCAGCGAGGGAGUAAUGAGCGGGGAGGUGCCCGCAGGCUCGGCCUUCACCUUCCCGCUGGCUGUGACCUUGGGCGGUCCCUGAAGCGGAGCAGGGUUUCUUCGCAGGGGCCCCAGUCACUGCAUCUGAGAAGGCAGAGGGAAACGCUCUCCCUUCCUCACAGAGCUGUUGUGUACAGAGCCACUCAGAUCCUGGCACAGGGCAAGGGAAAACCAGGUGCUUGGAAGAACUGAGGCAUCGGUGACGAGAUGCUGUCACCAAGGUACCACGUCAGAGUGCUGAGGCCUGACCAUGCUCCUGAAUAACCAGCACAGGGGAGCAAGCCGAGAAGAUCAGGAAUUUCAGUUAAGUGUUCCUGCCCAGCUCUGAAAAUGCCAGAAGAGAGACACAUUUCCCCAUCCACCGGCUCCCUCUAAAAAAUCUUAUCUGUCCCUGGGGAGCCCCUUAUCCUUUAUAUCAACCAAUGGAAAGGACAUUUGGAGGACACUUUAUCCAAUGCUUCUUUAACAUUAGAUUUGAACCUGCUCACCCACAGCUUUUUUAGACACAAUUGAAAAUAAACAUUGCAAAGUCUUGCUCACUGAGCUGUAAGUA